GACGGGACCCGCACAAGCAGCGGAGCGUGUGGUUUAAUUCGAGGCUACACGAAGAACCUUACCAGGGUUUGACAUGCAAGUGGUAGGAAUCCGAAAGGUGACCGACCCUUCGGGGAGCUUGCACAGGUGCUGCAUGGCUGUCGUCAGCUCGUGUCGUGAGAUGUUCGGUUAAGUCCGCUAACGAGCGCAACCCUCGCUGUGUGUUACAAGUGUCACACAGGACCGCCGGUCUUAAGCCGGAGGAAGGUGGGGAUGACGUCAAGUCAGCAUGGCCUUUAUGUCCAGGGCUACACACACGCUACAAUGGUCAGCACAAUAGGUAGCCAAGCCGCGAGGUGGAGCCAAUCCUCAAAGUCUGUCUCAGUUCAGAUUGUAGGCUGCAACUCGCCUGCAUGAAGUCGGAGUUGCUAGUAAACGCAGGUCAGCUAUACUGCGUUGAAUACGUUCCCGGGGUUU
RNAcentral lists this ribosomal RNA (456 nucleotides) under uncultured Leptolinea sp. RNAcentral describes it as "bacterial SSU rRNA". It matches the Rfam family "Bacterial small subunit ribosomal RNA", at positions 912 to 1382 of the family's 1533-position model. The record is from RNAcentral. Lineage: Bacteria; Bacillati; Chloroflexota; Anaerolineae; Anaerolineales; Anaerolineaceae.